This 468-nucleotide ribosomal RNA is filed under the name uncultured bacterium. RNAcentral describes it as "partial 16S ribosomal RNA". It matches the Rfam family "Bacterial small subunit ribosomal RNA", at positions 28 to 507 of the family's 1533-position model. The record is from RNAcentral.
GACGAACGCUGGCGGCGUGCUUAACACAUGCAAGUCGAACGGAAAGGCCCUGCUUUUGUGGGGUGCUCGAGUGGCGAACGGGUGAGUAACACGUGAGUAACCUGCCCUUGACUUUGGGAUAACUUCAGGAAACUGGGGCUAAUACCGGAUAGGAGCUCCUGCUGCAUGGUGGGGGUUGGAAAGUUUCGGCGGUUGGGGAUGGACUCGCGGCUUAUCAGCUUGUUGGUGGGGUAGUGGCUUACCAAGGCUUUGACGGGUAGCCGGCCUGAGAGGGUGACCGGCCCCAUUGGGACUGAGAUACGGCCCAGACUCCUACGGGAGGCAGCAGUGGGGAACAUUGCACAAUGGGCGGAAGCCUGAUGCAGCAACGCCGCGUGCGGGAUGACGGCCGUCGGGUUGUAAACCGCUUUCGCCUGUGACGAAGCGUGAGUGACGGUAAUGGGUAAAGAAGCACCGGCUAACUACGUG